GUCUUGUUGGUGCAGGGACUCGGUCUGCACUGUGGACAUGCAGAAGGAAUCACAUCUACAGGCUUUCCCAAACGCAUGUCACCAUGGGGGUCUUCUUCACAAAUGUCUGGUGGGGCUGGUGUUCUGCAGAAGAUAACUUGAGAAGCACUGAACUCCACUAAGUCCACGAUGCAAGAUCAAGUCCUAAUUCCUCCAGCAGGUCUCUCCGCCUCUCUGAGUUUGUUUCCUAAUCCAUAAAAUAAUAACACCUGCCCUAGCCACUUACUAAGGCUGUUGUUAGUCAAAUGAGACAGAGCUUGUGAAAGCCCUUCGUAAACGCUAAAGCAACACACGUGAGAAAAGUGUUUCCGCAACAGCUCACCGAGAGGUAGGGUAAACCCGCAGGGGUCACGGGAUGGAGUGUCACCAGUGAAACGAAAUGGAAAGUACUCUAACCAAAGCUGUUCUGUGCUGCGCUGGAUAACGAGCAGCACCAGAGUUCCUCCAGCGGUCUACCUCACGGUCAGCGGGACAUAGAGCUGAACGAACACACGAGGCAAACACUUGUACAUUGCCGUGGUGCCAAGACACUGAUGGGAUCCACAGGAACGUCACUUGGGCACUUCUUGUUACUACACAUUUGAUAAGAUGUUUCAACUAGCAAAAAGAGGCCACAGAACCCCAGUGUACCCCACUGGUCUUUAUGCCUCAGCAGCAAGCACCAGGUUCAGUCUGAUCUCCCUAAGAACAGGUGGAAAUGCUACUGAAGCAACUAAAAUGCAAAGAUAACCACUCACCUUGAAGAUCCUAUCCUUCCCAGCAUAGCCACGCAGAAAAACAGGAUGACUACAGGCGUAAGGGACACAGGAAUACAAACUGUCUCCUGACAGAUCUCCUAUAAGCAAGCCCUUUCUUAUCAGACUUGGGUUCUAUUUAACAACAUGAAGAGGCAUUUAAGUUUACAGAUGUAAUCCACGGCAUGGCUUGCAAUCUCCCCACAGAGCUUCGUGAAGCAGGAAGAAAUCAACUGACUGAGGAGACCUAACCCUCACUUCCUAUUUGCCUCUAUGAGCUGUCUAGGGAAGAAAUUCCAUCACGACUACAUGAGAGGUUCCCAGACUUGCAAAUUUUAUGGUCCAGUAAAAUACUCCAAAUUUAGGACACUCACAAGAGAUUGUCAACUCAAUGUUACUAAGGAUAGAACCAGGCUGAGUGGUGGUCCCUGAUGAAACCAGGCUCACAAGUCACACCCCACAGCCAAAGAUUGCUGAAUUUUCAGCACUCGUACUGAAAAAAAGGACUAGCUUUGGAGUCAGAAGUGGACUGAACCCAUCAGCCUGUGGCCUGCUGGCCUGAAGGUGUGGUGUGCAGGCUGGCACGCUGCAGGCAGGGCUCAGGAGCUGCAGGAGCACAGCGGGGCACAACACCAGCAGGGACUCGGGGACGGCGGCUGUCAUUACACACGCAGGGAUCGCAUCCUCACGAGAACUUACCAGUCCUGUGAAGCACCUUCACCGGAGCGAUCAGCGUUUACAACACGACGGUCGACAG
RNAcentral lists this long non-coding RNA (1530 nucleotides) under Equus caballus (horse). RNAcentral's name for it is "lncRNA (ENSECAG00000051136.1)". Lineage: Eukaryota; Metazoa; Chordata; Mammalia; Perissodactyla; Equidae. The record is from RNAcentral.